Long non-coding RNA from Sinocyclocheilus grahami, 118 nucleotides. RefSeq lists it as uncharacterized. NCBI's taxonomy places the organism in Eukaryota, Metazoa, Chordata, Actinopteri, Cypriniformes, Cyprinidae. The transcript is spliced from 3 exons. The record is from RefSeq and is a predicted model, not a curated record.
UUAAUGUAGGUUUUUUGAGCAGUGGGGUUAUCCGAGCCUGCUUGAAUGCAGUGGGCAAGGUGCCUGUGAGAAGAGAUGUAUUGAUGAUGUUUACUGGCUGCUUUGCGAAUGCUUUGUC